RNAcentral lists this ribosomal RNA (253 nucleotides) under uncultured bacterium. RNAcentral's name for it is "partial 16S ribosomal RNA". It matches the Rfam family "Bacterial small subunit ribosomal RNA", at positions 524 to 776 of the family's 1533-position model. The record is from RNAcentral.
UACAGAGGGUGCGAGCGUUAAUCGGAAUUACUGGGCGUAAAGGGCGCGUAGGCGGUGUAUUAAGUUAGAUGUGAAAUCCCUGGGCUUAACCUAGGAACUGCAUCUGAUACUGGUACGCUAGAGUGCAGUAGAGGGUAGUGGAAUUUCCGGUGUAGCGGUGGAAUGCGCAGAUAUCAGGAGGAACACCGGUGGCGAAGGCGGAUCUCUGGGCCAUAACUGACGCUGAGGAGCGAAAGCAUGGGGAGCGAACAGG